This 529-nucleotide ribosomal RNA is filed under the name uncultured bacterium. RNAcentral's name for it is "bacterial SSU rRNA". It matches the Rfam family "Bacterial small subunit ribosomal RNA", at positions 16 to 518 of the family's 1533-position model. The record is from RNAcentral.
AUCCUGGCUUAGGACGAACGCUGGCGGCGUGCCUAAUACAUGCAAGUCGAACGGCUUUUCUAUGGAAGCUUGCUUCCACUGAGAAGAUAGUGGCGAACGGGUGAGUAACACGUGGGUAACCUGCCCAUAAGAGGGGGAUAACAUCCGGAAACGGGUGCUAAUACCGCAUAGUUUUCUUGAUCGCAUGAUUGAGAAAGGAAAGACGGCCUUUGUGCUGUCGCUUAUGGAUGGACCCGCGGCGUAUUAGUUAGUUGGUGAGGUAACGGCUCACCAAGACGAUGAUACGUAGCCGACCUGAGAGGGUGAUCGGCCACAUUGGGACUGAGACACGGCCCAAACUCCUACGGGAGGCAGCAGUAGGGAAUCUUCCGCAAUGGACGAAAGUCUGACGGAGCAACGCCGCGUGAGUGAAAGAAGGUUUUCGGAUCGUAAAACUCUGUUGUCAGAGAAGAACAAGUUGGAGAGUAACUGCUCCAGCCUUGACGGUAUCUGACCAGAAAGCCACGGCUAACUACGUGCCAGCCGCCGC